Molecule: small nucleolar RNA, 137 nt
Organism: Oncorhynchus mykiss (rainbow trout)
Lineage: Eukaryota; Metazoa; Chordata; Actinopteri; Salmoniformes; Salmonidae
Source: Ensembl
CUUCCAUUCUUGGCAUGCAAUCUUUCUCCCUGUACCUGUGUAUGUAUGUUAUGGCGGGAUAACAAGGCCAGUGCUAUGUCUUCGGUGCUGGAAUGUUCCUUGUCUUCUGGUUCUGUCCUCAAUUCGCUGGUACAUCC